Molecule: non-coding RNA, 127 nt
Organism: Nemania sp. FL0916
Lineage: Eukaryota; Fungi; Ascomycota; Sordariomycetes; Xylariales; Xylariaceae
Source: the annotation of a GenBank genome assembly
UCCUCCGUGGCGCAAUUGGCUAGCGCGUCGUAAGUGUAAACCCGAUGUUUCGGUUCUAUCAAACCAAGCUAACCAUCUACAGUGACUGUUAAUCAGGAGGUUGAAAGUUCGAGCCUUUCCGGGGGAG